RNAcentral lists this ribosomal RNA (704 nucleotides) under uncultured Sphingomonas sp. Its description in RNAcentral is "bacterial SSU rRNA". It matches the Rfam family "Bacterial small subunit ribosomal RNA", at positions 28 to 776 of the family's 1533-position model. Lineage: Bacteria; Pseudomonadati; Pseudomonadota; Alphaproteobacteria; Sphingomonadales; Sphingomonadaceae. The record is from RNAcentral.
AACGAACGCUGGCGGCAUGCCUAACACAUGCAAGUCGAACGAGUGCCUUCGGGUGCUAGUGGCGCACGGGUGCGUAACGCGUGGGAAUCUGCCCUUUGGUUCGGAAUAACAGUUGGAAACGACUGCUAAUACCGGAUGAUGACGAAAGUCCAAAGAUUUAUCGCCAGAGGAUGAGCCCGCGUAGGAUUAGCUAGUUGGUGUGGUAAAGGCGCACCAAGGCGACGAUCCUUAGCUGGUCUGAGAGGAUGAUCAGCCACACUGGGACUGAGACACGGCCCAGACUCCUACGGGAGGCAGCAGUGGGGAAUAUUGGACAAUGGGCGAAAGCCUGAUCCAGCAAUGCCGCGUGAGUGAUGAAGGCCUUAGGGUUGUAAAGCUCUUUUACCCGGGAUGAUAAUGACAGUACCGGGAGAAUAAGCUCCGGCUAACUCCGUGCCAGCAGCCGCGGUAAUACGGAGGGAGCUAGCGUUGUUCGGAAUUACUGGGCGUAAAGCGCACGUAGGCGGCUUUGUAAGUUAGAGGUGAAAGCCUGGAGCUCAACUCCAGAACUGCCUUUAAGACUGCAUCGCUUGAAUCCAGGAGAGGUGAGUGGAAUUCCGAGUGUAGAGGUGAAAUUCGUAGAUAUUCGGAAGAACACCAGUGGCGAAGGCGGCUCACUGGACUGGUAUUGACGCUGAGGUGCGAAAGCGUGGGGAGCAAACAGG